RNA transcript from Pristis pectinata (smalltooth sawfish), 5613 nucleotides. It is a transcript of the gene named mitogen-activated protein kinase kinase kinase 5, with no coding region annotated. NCBI's taxonomy places the organism in Eukaryota, Metazoa, Chordata, Chondrichthyes, Rhinopristiformes, Pristidae. The transcript has 30 exons. The record is from RefSeq and is a predicted model, not a curated record.
AUAGAACCGAAACCAUUUCGUACUGAGAAACUCUGCAAAAGGGUGAAGCAAAAUGCAAAGAAACAAGCAUGCGAUAUGACGUGAAACGUUUAAAAAUUCCACCAGAGGACAAUUGACAGUGGCUUAUUUGCAAAGUUCCUGCUACGCUGUCCUCUUCCUACGCCCCCUGCUGUAUUGAAAUCGGCCAUUAUGUUGGAUGUUGUCCUAUUUUGGUAAUCGGACGGCCCCUAAAGCUAGACUUAGAACUGACUCGUCUUGUGCUUGUCAGUGGGAUACACAUAGCAUGAAACUGACAGGGUGCUGCAGUUACACAUCGCUGAUUGGAGUCCAGCGCUCUGCUGCCAGUUUGAAGUUCGUGCGUCGGGUUUUCGGUUGUGAAUUAGUACAACUGAUUUGCAUUCCCGGAAAGAGCAGGGGAUGCUGAGGAGGAGCUGAGGAACGUUCCUUUGAAGUCUCCCAUGUGGGCCAGAGGAAGCUGGAUCGGGAGAACUGCAUCGCCGCUGAAGGCAGAGGCUGCCGCAGCGGCUCCGCUCGCAACAUGAACGCCGACCGGGAGACGGCAGGAGCCCCGACGCCCGCUGAAGGAGACGCCGGGACACUGCUCUCCCCGGCCUCCAGCAGCGUGCCAGCCGGCACUUACUGGCAGGACCACACGGCGGCUGCCACUUGCGCCCCGCCCUGGUACCGGCAGCUCGCCUCAAGAACCGGCCGACCACGGUGGGUAUGUGAUGAACGAGGCGGCUCAGCUGCAGCUGGCCGAGAGCUUGGCGCUGCAGUGCUUGAGGGAAGCGUGCGAGAGUGUCAGCGCCGACCUGCAGACCGUGCCCUUCGAGAAGCUGGACUUCGGAGAGACCGCCGUCCUGGACUAUUUUUAUAACGCAGAUAUCGCUGUGGUGGAGAUGAGUGAUGCUUUCCGUCAGCCUUCCCUGUUCUACCAUCUUGGAGUGCGAGAGAGUUUCAGCAUGGCAAAUAAUAUCAUUUUAUAUUGUGAUACAAAUUCAGACACACUUCAGUCACUUCAGGAAAUAAUAUGUCAGAAGAAAAAUACAUCAUGUGGAAACUACAGCUUUAUACCAUAUAUGGUGACUCCACACAACAAGGUUUACUGUUGUGAGAGCAGCUACAUGAAGGGCUUGAGUGAGCUAAUGCAGCCGAAUUUUGAGUUGUUGCUUGGGCCUAUCUGCAUGCCAUUAGUGGAUCGCUUUGUUCAAUUGCUGAAGGUUGCACACAUCAGCUGCUGUCAGUACUUUAGGGAAACCAUCCUGAAUGACAUCAGGAAGGCCCGUGAGCUUUACAGUGGUAAAGAAUUGGCCGCAGAGCUAGGAAGAAUAAGAAAACGCCUGGACAAUGUUGAAGUUCUCUCUGCUGACAUUAUCAUUAAUUUGCUUCUUUCCUACCGAGAUAUUCAGGACUAUAAUGCCAUUGUAACAUUGGUAGAGACUUUGGAGAGACUUCCAACCUGUGAUCUGGUGGACAAUCUUCACAUCAAAUUUCAUUAUGCCUUUGCACUGAAUCGGAGAAAUCUUUCAGGAGACCGACAAAGUGCCAUUGCUAUACUACUGCCAAUGGUGCAGUCAGAAGAGCAGGUUCCUUCGGACAUAUAUUGCCUCUUGGGAAGGAUCUACAAAGACAUGUUUCUAGACUCUGGCUUCCAAGAUACAGAAAGCCGAGACAAUGGUGCUUACUGGUACGGAAAGGCUUUUGAAUCUGAGCCAACGAUACAUUCUGGGAUAAAUUUAGCCGUACUUCUUCUCGCAGCAGGACAUCAGUUUGACACAUCCUUUGAACUGCACAAAACUGGUGUGAAACUCAGCAGCCUACUGGGGAAGAAGGGAAACUUGGAAAAAAUACAGAGUUACUGGGAUGUGGGGUUUUUCCUUGGUGCCAGUAUGUUAGCAAAUGAUCCUCUCCGAGUUAUUAUGGCUUCUGAGAAGCUCUUUAAACUCAAGGCACCUGCCUGGUAUUUGAAGUCUGUUGUACAAACCAUUCAUAUAUAUCAACGAUUUAAGAAGCAGACUCCAGAGCAGCCCUCUGAAUGUCAGGACCUGAUGGACUUCUGGAUGGAGUUCAUUGUCGAAGCCACCAAUGAAGUUGUGUCCUUGGUCCGAUUUCCUGUUUUAAUCUUGGAGCCAACCAAAGUCUUCCAGCCUGCAUAUUUAUCCAUUAACAAUGAGGCAGAAGAGAAGACCGUGUCUAUUUGGCAUGUAUCACCAAGUGAUAAGAAUGCCAUAUAUGAGUGGAACUUCAAUGCUUCUUCAAUCAGGGGUGUGAGUGUUUCCAAAUGUGAUGAACGUUGUUGCUUCUUGUAUGUUCUACAUAAUUCAGAUGACUUUCAGAUAUACUUUUGCUCAGAGCUUCAUUGCAAAAGAUUCUGUGAAAUGGUGAAUUCUAUAACAGACGAGGUAGGAAAAGGUGCAGAAGAAGGAGACUCUGAGGGAGAUGCGUUGGAGUACGAUUAUGAAUAUGAUGAGAAUGGUGAGAAGGUUGUACUGGGUAAAGGCACAUUUGGAGUCGUCUAUGCUGGUAGAGACCUGAGCAAUCAAGUCAGAAUUGCCAUCAAAGAAAUCCCAGAAAGAGACAGCAGAUACUCGCAGCCCCUCCAUGAAGAAAUUGCUCUUCAUAAGCACCUCAAGCACAAAAACAUUGUGCAAUACCUGGGCUCCAUUAGUGAAAGUGGCUUCAUUAAGAUCUUUAUGGAGCAAGUUCCUGGAGGCAGCCUUUCUGCUCUCUUACGAUCGAAAUGGGGCCCUUUAAAGGAUAAUGAACAGACCAUUGGAUUUUAUACCAAACAGAUCCUGGAAGGACUGAAAUACCUUCAUGACAAUCAAAUAGCACAUCGAGACAUUAAGGGCGAUAAUGUGCUGAUCAACACCUACAGUGGGAUCUUAAAAAUUUCAGAUUUUGGUACCUCAAAAAGACUGGCAGGAAUCAAUCCUUGUGCUGAAACAUUCACAGGAACGCUUCAGUACAUGGCCCCUGAGAUAAUAGACAAAGGACCGAGAGGUUAUGGGAAACCUGCUGACAUCUGGUCACUGGGAUGUACAAUUAUUGAGAUGGCCACAGGGAAACCUCCAUUUUAUGAACUGGGAGAACCUCAGGCUGCUAUGUUUAAGGUUGGAAUGUUUAAAAUUCAUCCAGAUAUUCCAGAAUCCAUGUCACCAGAAGCCAAAGAGUUCAUUCUUCGUUGCUUUGAACCAGAACCCGAUGCACGUGCUACUGCUGCAGAGUUGCUAUCAGACGAGUUCCUGAAGGUUACCAGCAAGAAGAAAAAGACCCCAUUAAAACAACAAGAUUAUCUUCGCAGUAUAUCCCUUCCGGUUCCAGUUGUUGUGGAGGAAUUGAGUAGUGGCAGUGAAUUUGGCUCAGUAUCACCAGAUUCUGACUUAAAGCAGGAUCCAUUCUUUUUCAAAGUAAGGGCAAAAUCCUGCAUUGAAAAGGAGAGCAAACCAACAAGACCUUUGCUUCUCAGUAUCCCUGAUGACCAUUUUGAAGAUCACAGUGCACCACCAUCACCUGAGGAGAAGGAUGCCGGGUUCUUCAUGCUGAAGAAAGACAGUGAGAGGAGGGCCACUUUACACCGGAUUCUCUCAGAGGAUCAGGACAAGGUUGUGAGGAACUUGCUUGAAUCUCUGAUGCAGGGUUCUGAAGUACCAAAACUGAAAUCCGAGCACAUCUGCACACUUGUUGUUAGUUUAAGGGAGUUUGUGAGAUCAACUGAUCGCAAAAUCAUCUCAGCCACACUCUCUAGGCUGAAGUUAGAGUUGGACUUUGACAACCACGCCAUUAACCAAAUUCAAGUGGUGCUGUUUGGUUUCCAAGAAGCUGUAAAUAAAGUCUUGAGAACUCACAAUAUUAAACCUCACUGGAUGUUUGCUUUGGACAACAUCAUUCGCAAAGCUGUGCAGACAGCUAUUACUAUUCUUGUUCCUGAACUGAGACCACAUUUCAGCCUUGCAUCUGGGAGUGAUGCUGCAGACCAAGAAGAAGCAGAUGUUGAGGAUGAUGAUGAUGAAAAUCACAAUGAGCCAUCCCGCUGUGAAAUUCAGCAGCCGAUUGCUGUGAAUGAGGACCGAAUACCAACUUCGGGUGUGAGCACCCUUAGUUCAACAAUAUCACAUGACUCUCAGUAUAUACACAGAUCUCUGACAGUACAAUUGGGAAGGCUUAAAUUAGAAACCAGCAGACUUUUAGAAGAGCUCAUUCAGAAAGAAAAGGACUAUCAGAUCCUUCUUCAUCAAGCCAUUGAAGAUAAGGAACAAGAAAUUAAAUUGCUCAAACUGAAGUCACAGCCAAUAGACUUACCUAUUCUGUCAGUAUGUCACUAUGAUUCUUCUCCAGUAAACUCUGGAGACCCUGAACUUAUUAGCUGGUUGAAAGAACAUGGAGCUGAUGAAGAUACAAUAGAUAAGUUUGUGGCAGAUGAUUAUAAUCUGACGGAUGUUCUCAACUACAUGACAAGAGAUGAUCUGAAAUGCUUGAGGUUAAGGAGGCUCAGUGGGCUGGAGACUUUUCACUGAGUGACAGAGUUCCUACAAGUCAAGGCAUUGUUGGUUGCACUCGUGUCAACAUUGGAUUUUCUCACAUCAACCUUAUGGCCUUCAUGACAUGUGAAGUCUUCAAUCCCAUUAAUAAUCAGGGGUGGAAUGCUUUGCAAAUUGUGGAAAGCAAUCGUUGAGAACAGAAAAAAAAAUGAAUCUACUUCCCCACUAGGUCACAUGUAAGGAACUUGUAAUGGGACACACAAGAGCAUCUCUCAAUGAAAUACUAGCACUUUAAAAUAAAUUUGACAAUGUAAACAUGUAGGUUGUUUAUGAGUCUGCUGCAAUAAGCACUCUGUAUCUGAACUGCUGACAAAUGUAUGUGUGUUGCCAACAGCUGAGAAAUUUAGCUGGUUGUUUUUAUUCAAAAUAACCACGUUCAAUGAAGUGAUUUUUGGUAUUUAAGGAGUAAUUUUCCAACAUUUAGAGUUCACUACUGGGGACACUUGUCCACAGUGAAUGUACAUGGAUACCUGUAAGCAGGCUGUAAAUGAUUUGCCAGCUCUUAAAUAAAGGAUGUGCAGACAUUCUGAAGUUACAAAGUAUGUAUGCUCCCAAUGGGUGAGACUCUAUGCUGAGAACACAAAAUCUGAUGACAUUUAGGGUUCUAUUUUUUAACUUUUCUCUUAAAAAUGGGGGGAAACAAUUGUGCACUAAAUUCUGUUUUUAUACUUUUUUUUUGUUGUUAUUGGAUGGCAUUUUGCUGAACUACUGUUAAUGUAUGUUGCGCAGAACUGCACAUAUUAUAACUUUUUUAUGAUGUCUGGAAUGUAGCCCACUGUCUUAAGUUGUCUUAAUAUUUUUCUGCAGUUGAACAAUCUGAAUUACUGUAGUAAAUUUUGUAAAUGUACUAAUGUUAUACGUAAUUGUCCCAGUUUUUGUAAUGUAAAUUAUAUACUGUAGCUUUAUAUUGUAUAAAUGCAGUUAAUCCUGUUUCCCUUUGAUGUUGAAACAUGUUUAAAUCAUCAUAUUAUGAUCCACUGUUCAUUGUUGAUCUUUGUGCCACAAAUGGCUUGUUCUAAAGCUAAAAAUCUUUGACAGCCACUUUUAGAAAUAAAUUAAAGAAAAUUACAAA